ACGACAACAACAACAGAAAGAGGCACAACAACAACAAGAUCUCCAAAAAAUAGCCAUGAAAAAUUUCAAACAGUAUUGGUAGAAACACAAUUUGAAGUACAAUACCAACAAGAUCCAACAACAAAUGUUUCCACAUCAAAUGUCUCCAUGACAGGGUCACAUCUUCAGUAUUUGCCACGUUCUAGAUGCAAUUCAUUAGAUGAUUAUCUUUACAACAAUUCAUUCGAUGAAACCCUAUCCAUACCGAUAUCGACACCCGCACCAAAUGACAAUAGUAAGGCAAUACCUACAACAACCUCAACUACGACUGCAACUACAUCAGCCAAUCAGAAAAGCAAAAAACAAAUUCAACAUUAGAGCGCAAAUUGGACAUUUUAAAUACCAAAUUAGAUUACAUAAUAGAUGUAUUACACGAAAAAUCAGGACAUAGUGAGCCAGUAAAUGAAUUUGAUUUCGAAGCAAUACAGGACCAAAAACAAUUAGAGGAUUUUGAAAGCCAGCUAGGAGAAUCAAACGGUACUUUUAAACAAAAAAUUUUAACGGAACUGCGAAGUUCAUUAAAGUUAGGGAACUCUAAAUACCAAAUACACCAAGCAUUGGACUUACUAUUUUCCCGGCAAUUUUUAGCUAAAAUGACUUGGUCCGGACGCAGUAAAACAGAGCAAAAGAUUCCUUUCUCGUCCUACACUAACAUUAAAAAAUUAUUCUUGGAAAUUGCGGAGACAAAAUUUGAGAAACCGGCGGAAAGAUUUGUUUUUGAUUAUA
Molecule: long non-coding RNA, 765 nt
Organism: Anopheles arabiensis
Lineage: Eukaryota; Metazoa; Arthropoda; Insecta; Diptera; Culicidae
Exons: 3
Source: RefSeq, a predicted model, not a curated record